CCUACGGGAGGCAGCAGUGAGGAAUAUUGGUCAAUGGCCGUAAGGCUGAACCAGCCAAGUCGCGUGAAGGAAGAAGGAUCUAUGGUUUGUAAACUGCUUUUAUAGGGGAAUAAAGGUAUCUACGUGUGGAGAUUUGCAUGUACCCUAUGAAUAAGCAUCGGCUAAAUCCGUGCCAGCAGCCGCGGUAAUACGGAGGAUGCGGGCGUUAUCCGGAUUUAUUGGGUUUAAAGGGUGCGUAGGUGGUUUUUUAAGUGGGCGGUGAAAGUUUCUGGCUCAACCAUAAAAUUGCCGUUGAAACUGGAAGGCUUGAGUGCGUUGGAGGUAGGCGGAAUGCGUGGUGUAGCGGUGAAAUGCAUAGAUAUCACGCAGAACUCCGAUUGCGAAGGUAGCUUGCUAAAGCAUAACUGACGCUGAAGCACGAAAGCGUGGGGAUCGAACAGGAUUAGAUACCCUUGUAGUC
RNAcentral lists this ribosomal RNA (460 nucleotides) under uncultured bacterium. RNAcentral's name for it is "partial 16S ribosomal RNA". It matches the Rfam family "Bacterial small subunit ribosomal RNA", at positions 338 to 795 of the family's 1533-position model. The record is from RNAcentral.